RNAcentral lists this transfer RNA (87 nucleotides) under Candidatus Methanoplasma sp. Its description in RNAcentral is "tRNA-Ser". It matches the Rfam family "tRNA". Rfam says of the family: Transfer RNA (tRNA) molecules are approximately 80 nucleotides in length. Their secondary structure includes four short double-helical elements and three loops (D, anti-codon, and T loops). Lineage: Archaea; Methanobacteriati; Thermoplasmatota; Thermoplasmata; Methanomassiliicoccales; Methanomassiliicoccaceae. The record is from RNAcentral.
GUGGGGGUGGCCCAGCCUGGUAAGGCGAUAGACUGCUAAUCUAUUGUCCGUAUGGACCCGAGGGUUCGAAUCCCUCCCUCCACGCCA